UACGAAGGGGGCUAGCGUUGCUCGGAAUCACUGGGCGUAAAGGGUGCGUAGGCGGGUCUUUAAGUCAGGGGUGAAAUCCUGGAGCUCAACUCCAGAACUGCCUUUGAUACUGAGGAUCUUGAGUCCGGGAGAGGUGAGUGGAACUGCGAGUGUAGAGGUGAAAUUCGUAGAUAUUCGCAAGAACACCAGUGGCGAAGGCGGCUCACUGGCCCGGUACCGACGCUGAGGUGCGAAAGCGUGGGGAGCAAACAGG
RNAcentral lists this ribosomal RNA (253 nucleotides) under uncultured bacterium. RNAcentral's name for it is "partial 16S ribosomal RNA". It matches the Rfam family "Bacterial small subunit ribosomal RNA", at positions 524 to 776 of the family's 1533-position model. The record is from RNAcentral.